Long non-coding RNA from Diachasma alloeum, 565 nucleotides. RefSeq lists it as uncharacterized. The record is from RefSeq and is a predicted model, not a curated record. NCBI's taxonomy places the organism in Eukaryota, Metazoa, Arthropoda, Insecta, Hymenoptera, Braconidae. The transcript has 3 exons.
ACUGUAGCCUCUUUACUCUAGAAAAUUUCAAUUUUUCACGGCCAAUAUUCAAUUUAUAACUCAUUUGCUGAUUAUUAAUCUUUAUAGAUGAAGACAUCCCUUGAAGAUUUUGUUUUUCGAAGUUGAAGAGUUGGAGAAGGGGAUUUUCACUUUUUUGCUGCAUCAAAUGCUAAUAAGUGAAAAAUGAGAGCAUUGAAGGGAUAGAACACAUUCGAAUUCAAGAAUGGAGCAGGUGAAAGUGAAGCGGGCCUUGGCCGGUCUGAAAUCGGCCACCGAGGGUUUGGCCAUCUUGGAGGAAAUGGUGGAAGGGCCAUGCCUGCGGGAGGAGCACCCCGUGUUCAACUCGGUGGUGCCUAUUGUGGCCAAGCUCCAGUUGCUCAUGGAGAAAAUGACGGCGGAGCUGAAGGGCGUGGUGGGGAGCAACCCUCCACGCUUACAAGCAUGCUCGACUCAGGCGCGCUACAGACCCCUGCCGUAUGUCAGGGCAAAGGAGAGUGAUCGUCGGGCUCAGGACCUCGCAAACCUGAUCAAGCGAAGUCCUCACGUGUGGAUGGAAUGGGGUGCC